RNAcentral lists this transfer RNA (65 nucleotides) under Agetocera deformicornis. Its description in RNAcentral is "tRNA-Trp". The record is from RNAcentral. Lineage: Eukaryota; Metazoa; Arthropoda; Insecta; Coleoptera; Chrysomelidae.
AAGGAUUUAAGUUAACCAAACUUUUAGCCUUCAAAGUUAAAUAUAGAUUUUUAAUCUAAGCCUUA